RNAcentral lists this long non-coding RNA (511 nucleotides) under Trifolium pratense (red clover). Its description in RNAcentral is "long non-coding RNA (TPRA_LNC008230)". Lineage: Eukaryota; Viridiplantae; Streptophyta; Magnoliopsida; Fabales; Fabaceae. The record is from RNAcentral.
ACGCUUUUUAUGAUAUGAUAUAGAGCACUAUUACAAACAAUUUAAUAAGGUACAUCUAAGUAAACACUAUUAAGCUUUCUUUGUAUAUAUAGCUUCCUAUAUAUAAACAGUAACAAACAAAUUGGAAUCAAAGAAUAAAAGAAAAUAUAUAGAUAUACAAAUCAAAUUAUCUGCAAUUAAAAUUUGACACAUUCAUUCAUUUAAGACAACCGGAGUCGUUGGAUCGUAUACUAUUUGACAUUUUAAAAAUAAAAAAUAUCGAUUUUGAAAUCUAAAAUAUCUAAGUUAUGAUCCAACAACCAUAAUUGUCUUGACUGCAUUAAUGCGUCAAAUGACUGCAGAGAAUCAUGAUCCAUAUGUAUAACAAUCAUAUAAGUAUGGCGAAUAUAUUGUUUAGUUUCUCCUUCCAAAGAUCUGCCCCAUGGUUGGAAGUUUAGUACCAGCAGUGGAUUGAGAGGAUGAUGAUGUUGGUGAUGGCCUAGUUGUUGGAAAAAGAACAUCCUGAAUGCUA